RNAcentral lists this ribosomal RNA (274 nucleotides) under uncultured bacterium. Its description in RNAcentral is "partial 16S ribosomal RNA". It matches the Rfam family "Bacterial small subunit ribosomal RNA", at positions 523 to 796 of the family's 1533-position model. The record is from RNAcentral.
AUACAGAGGGUGCGAGCGUUAAUCGGAAUUACUGGGCGUAAAGCGCGCGUAGGCGGUCUAUUAAGUCAGAUGUGAAAUCCCAGGGCUCAACCUUGGAACUGCAUCUGAUACUGGUAGACUAGAGUUUUGGAGAGGGAAGUAGAAUUUCAGGUGUAGCGGUGAAAUGCAUAGAGAUCUGAAGGAAUACCAGUGGCGAAGGCGACUUCCUGGCCAAAAACUGACGCUGAGGUGCGAAAGCGUGGGUAGCAAACGGGAUUAGAUACCCUAGUAGUCC